This 502-nucleotide ribosomal RNA is filed under the name uncultured Acidovorax sp. RNAcentral describes it as "partial 16S ribosomal RNA". Lineage: Bacteria; Pseudomonadati; Pseudomonadota; Betaproteobacteria; Burkholderiales; Comamonadaceae. The record is from RNAcentral.
CACGUAGUUAGCCGGUGCUUAUUCUUACGGUACCGUCAUGGACCCCAGGUAUUAACCAGAGUCUUUUCGUUCCGUACAAAAGCAGUUUACAACCCGAAGGCCUUCAUCCUGCACGCGGCAUGGCUGGAUCAGGCUUUCGCCCAUUGUCCAAAAUUCCCCACUGCUGCCUCCCGUAGGAGUCUGGGCCGUGUCUCAGUACCAGUGUGGCUGGUCGUCCUCUCAGACCAGCUACAGAUCGUCGGCUUGGUAAGCUUUUAUCCCACCAACUACCUAAUCUGCCAUCGGCCGCUCCGUUCGCGCAAGGCCUUGCGGUCCCCUGCUUUCAUCCGUAGAUCGUAUGCGGUAUUAGCAAAGCUUUCGCUUCGUUAUCCCCCACGAUCGGGCACGUUCCGAUGUAUUACUCACCCGUUCGCCACUCGUCAGCAUCCGAAGACCUGUUACCGUUCGACUUGCAUGUGUAAGGCAUGCCGCCAGCGUUCAAUCUGAGCCAGGAUCAAACUCU